AACGAACGCUGGCGGCAGGCCUAACACAUGCAAGUCGAGCGAUCCCUUCGGGGAUAGCGGCGGACGGGUGAGUAACGCGUGGGAACGUACCCUUUGCUACGGAAUAGCCUCGGGAAACUGGGAGUAAUACCGUAUGUGCCCUUCGGGGAAAGAUUUAUCGGCAAAGGAUCGGCCCGCGUUGGAUUAGGUAGUUGGUGGGGUAAUGGCCUACCAAGCCUACGAUCCAUAGCUGGUUUGAGAGGAUGAUCAGCCACACUGGGACUGAGACACGGCCCAGACUCCUACGGGAGGCAGCAGUGGGGAAUCUUAGACAAUGGGGGCAACCCUGAUCUAGCCAUGCCGCGUGAGUGAUGAAGGCCUUAGGGUUGUAAAGCUCUUUCAGCUGGGAAGAUAAUGACGGUACCAGCAGAAGAAGCCCCGGCUAACUCCGUGCCAGCAGCCGCGGU
This 446-nucleotide ribosomal RNA is filed under the name uncultured bacterium. RNAcentral describes it as "bacterial SSU rRNA". It matches the Rfam family "Bacterial small subunit ribosomal RNA", at positions 29 to 521 of the family's 1533-position model. The record is from RNAcentral.